GUGGGGAAUAUUGCACAAUGGGCGAAAGCCUGAUGCAGCAACGCCGCGUGAGGGACGACGGCCUUCGGGUUGUAAACCUCUUUUAGUAGGGAAGAAGCGAAAGUGACGGUACCUGCAGAAAAAGCACCGGCUAACUACGUGCCAGCAGCCGCGGUAAUACGUAGGGUGCAAGCGUUAUCCGGAAUUAUUGGGCGUAAAGUGCUCGUAGGCGGUCUGUCGCGUCUGCUGUGAAAACUGGAGGCUCAACCUCCAGCCUGCAGUGGGUACGGGCAGACUAGAGUGCGGUAGGGGAGAUUGGAAUUCCUGGUGUAGCGGUGGAAUGCGCAGAUAUCAGGAGGAACACUGAUGGCGAAGGCAGAUCUCUGGGCCGUAACUGACGCUGAGGAGCGAAAGCGUGGGGAGCGAACAGGAUUAGAUACCCCAGUAGUCC
RNAcentral lists this ribosomal RNA (430 nucleotides) under uncultured bacterium. RNAcentral describes it as "partial 16S ribosomal RNA". It matches the Rfam family "Bacterial small subunit ribosomal RNA", at positions 354 to 796 of the family's 1533-position model. The record is from RNAcentral.